UCAUUUUAUCUUCAAAAAGUUUACUAACCCUAAAACUCAUUUUUCCUUCUUUAUUUUCGUUCUUUUCUUUCUCCGUUUCCUCCCUCUUCAUCAAGCGAUGAAGCUUGUAGAUUUCAUUUGUUGUUUAAUAAGAACAACACAAGGGUGUUGUCUUCAUCAAGCAAUGAAGAGGGAAACCAUUGUGAUCACCGAUAUCACUGCCGUUGCCAUACAUCUACAGAGAUCGGCAAGUGACGUUCUUGUUCUCACUCUCCUUUUGCCACUCUUUCACAGUUGCACCGCGACGUGUGGUGUCGUAUCCAGGCCGUAUCCACGUCGACUGUGUUAAACUCAGCAGGCUUUGUGUCUUAGCUAUGGCGGGUAAAAAGAGUCCGAACCGUCUCAAAUACUCAGCCCCUCGCUUCUCCAAGAUUUUCACAGAUUUAAUUCUCCGUUCUAUGAAGCUCCACGCUUUGUUACACAUAUCGAUGAUGCAAGCAGUGUCGCAGUUACUAAGUACUGUUUAGGGGUUUUCCCUCGUAGCAAUACUCUAGAAGUGAGCAUUUUGGAUAUGUGCAGUAGUUGGGUCAGUCAUUUACAGUCAGGAUACAAACAAGAACAAAUAGUUGGAAUGCGGAUGAAUGACGAAGAAAUCAAGCGAAAUCCUGAGUACAAUAAUUAUUCUCACUUUUUUAAUGGUUGGAUUAUAAGUUGGUCAUCGUUGUCAUAUAAGCAGAAUUAGCUUUAUAUGCCAAUUAAAUAUCAUUUUAAUUUUAGAAUUA
Gossypium arboreum is the source of this 761-nucleotide long non-coding RNA. RefSeq lists it as uncharacterized. The record is from RefSeq and is a predicted model, not a curated record. The transcript is spliced from 3 exons. Lineage: Eukaryota; Viridiplantae; Streptophyta; Magnoliopsida; Malvales; Malvaceae.